AUGCGUGCUCCAUUUGUUCUUGGCGGCGGUGACUCUGGCCUGUUGGAGAUGGAUGGCACACUCAGCAUCCAUAGCCUUGAUGAUGACACCGAAAUAGUUAAUAUAUGGGUGUUGCAGGAUUACAGAAGCGAGGUUUGGGAUUUGAAGUACCGAAUCAAAUUGCCAGCUGCAGAAAUCAGGGAGCAGUUUGAAGACAGUGCUGAAAGUUGGGAUUUGGACGUUGUUUCGCAGGAUGGUGACGUCUUCUUGCUGGUCAAUUUUGGUGGGUGGCUGGUUCGCGUCGACAGUGAUGGCAAAUUGAUUGACAGUUUCAGUUAUGGUGAUAGAGAACUGUGGAUGUAUGAGUAUCGGCUCAAACAAAGUCUUGUCCAGCAUACCUCGUUUCCUCGCCUUUGA
This 396-nucleotide ribosomal RNA is filed under the name Triticum aestivum (bread wheat). RNAcentral describes it as "partial small subunit ribosomal RNA". Lineage: Eukaryota; Viridiplantae; Streptophyta; Magnoliopsida; Poales; Poaceae. The record is from RNAcentral.